This 61-nucleotide transfer RNA is filed under the name Rhynchocyon udzungwensis (grey-faced sengi). RNAcentral's name for it is "partial tRNA-Cys". The record is from RNAcentral. Lineage: Eukaryota; Metazoa; Chordata; Mammalia; Macroscelidea; Macroscelididae.
AGCCUUGUAGUGGUUGGACCAUGUAGAAUUGCAAAUUCGAAGAAGCAGCUUCAAUUCUGCC